RNAcentral lists this ribosomal RNA (455 nucleotides) under uncultured bacterium. Its description in RNAcentral is "bacterial SSU rRNA". It matches the Rfam family "Bacterial small subunit ribosomal RNA", at positions 340 to 786 of the family's 1533-position model. The record is from RNAcentral.
UACGGGAGGCAGCAGUGGGGAAUAUUGCACAAUGGGCGCAAGCCUGAUGCAGCCAUGCCGCGUGUAUGAAAAAGGCCUUCGGGUUGUAAAGUACUUUCAGUCGUGAGGAAGGUGUUAAGGUUAAUAACCUUAGCAAUUGACGUUAGCGACAGAAGAAGCACCGGCUAACUCCGUGCCAGCAGCCGCGGUAAUACGGAGGGUGCGAGCGUUAAUCGGAAUUACUGGGCGUAAAGGGCACGCAGGCGGUUAAUUAAGUUGGAUGUGAAAUCCCCGGGCUUAACCUGGGAAUGGCAUUCAAGACUGGUUAGCUAGAGUCUUGUAGAGGGGGGUUAGAAUUCCAUGUGUAGCGGUGAAAUGCGUAGAGAUGUGGAGGAAUACCGGUGGCGAAGGCGGCCCCUGGACAAAGACUGACGCUCAUGUGCGAAAGCGUGGGGAGCAAACAGGGAUUAGAUACC